GUGGAACCUUUGUGGGUUAUCAGGGGGACCACCCCUUUUAGGCUUUAUACUACUUAGUGUACCGAUAGCGCAUAGUACCUGUGAAGGUAAAGGUGAAAGGACCCCGGGAGGGGAGUGAAAGAGAACCUGAAACCCUGUGUCUACAAGCUGUGGAAGUGCUUUAUAUGCACGACCGCGUACUUUUUGUAGAACGGUCCGGCGAGUUACGCUUACUGGCAAGGUUAAGCACUUCAGGUGCGGAGCCGUAGGGAAACCAAGUCUUAAGAGGGCCUUAAGUCAGUAGGAGUAGACCCGAAACCGGGUGAUCUAUCCAUGUCCAGGUUGAAGCUGCCGUAAGAGGUAGUGGAGGACCGAACCCACAUCCGUUGAAAAGGGUGGGGAUGAGGUGUGGAUAGGGGAGAAAUUCCAAUCGAACCCGGAGAUAGCUGGUUCUCCUCGAAAUAGCUUUAGGGCUAGCCUCGAUACAGAUUUGCGGAGGUAGAGCACUGAAUUUCCUAGGGGGCGUCAAAGCCUACCGAAGAAUAUCAAACUCCGAAUGCCGCGUAAUCGAUUAUCGGGAGUCAGACUGCACGAGAUAAGUUGGGCGGUCAAAAGGGAAAGAGCCCAGACCUUCAGUUAAGGUCCCCAAGUGCGCGUUAAGUGGAAAAGGAUGUGGGAUUUCGAAGACAACCAGGAUGUUGGCUCAGAAGCAGCCAUCCAUUCAAAGAGUGCGUAAUAGCUCACUGGUCGAGAGGUCCUGCGCCGAAAAUGUCCGGGGCUGAAACGCGCCACCGAAACUAAGGAACCGAAAGGUUGGUAGAGGAGCAUUGCAUGCGGGAAGAAGCAGUACCGGAAGGAGCUGUGGACUGCAUGGAAGAGAGAAUGCCGGAAUGAGUAGCGAGAAUAAGGUGAGAAUCCUUAUGGCCGAAUAUCCAAGGUUUCCAGAGUAAAGCUGAUCUGCUCUGGGUAAGUCGGGGCCUAAGGCGAGGACGAGAGUCGUAGCCGAUGGACAACAGGUGGAGAUUCCUGUACUGCGGUAUGACAGAACUGUGGGGACACGUAAGGAAAGCGGAAGCCGGGAAUGGAAAGCCCGGUGCAAGCGGGGUACCAGUCACUUUGGCAAAUCCGGGUGGCAAUGGGAAGCCGUGAUGCGGAGUGAAAUAAAGUAACGAAGUCCGUGAGCCAUGCGUCAAGAAAAGCCGCUAUCGUUUAUACCGUACCCGUACCGUAAACCGACACAGGUGGAUGAGGAGAGAAUCCUAAGGCCGGCGGAAGAAGCAUUGUCAAGGAACUCGGCAAAAUGGCCCCGUAACUUAGGGAUAAGGGGUGCCUGGGAAACCAGGCCGCAGAGAAUAGGCUCAAGCAACUGUUUAGCAAAAACACAGGUCUAUGCGAAACCGAAAGGUGAGGUAUAUGGGCUGACGCCUGCCCGGUGCUGGAAGGUUAAGAGGAGAGGUUAGCGGUAACGCGAAGCUUUGAAUUUAAGCCCCAGUAAACGGCGGCCGUAACUAUAACGGUCCUAAGGUAGCGAAAUUCCUUGUCGGGUAAGUUCCGACCCGCACGAAAGGCGUAAUGAUUUGAGCGCUGUCUCGACAAUGCAUCCGGUGAAAUUGAAGUACCAGUGAAGAUGCUGGUUACCUGCGCCAGGACGGAAAGACCCCAUGGAGCUUUACUCCAGUCUGGUACUGGGACUCGGUAUUGCAUGUACAGGAUAGGUGGGAGGCUAGGAGAUGGUAACGCCAGUUGCCAUGGAGCCGCUGUUGGGAUACCACCCUUGCAGUAUUGGGUUUCUAACCAGCCGCCGUGACCCGGCGGUGGGACAAUGCCAGACGGGGAGUUUGACUGGGGCGGUCGCCUCCGAAAGGGUAUCGGAGGCGCCCAAAGGUUCCCUCAGAAUGGACGGAAACCAUUCGAAGAGUGCAAAGGCAGAAGGGAGCUUGACUGCGACACCGACGGGUGGAGCAGGUACGAAAGUAGGGCUUAGUGAUCCGGUGGUAUUAAGUGGGAAUGCCAUCGCUCAACGGAUAAAAGCUACCCUGGGGAUAACAGGCUUAUCACUCCCAAGAGUUCACAUCGACGGAGUGGUUUGGCACCUCGAUGUCGGCUCAUCGCAUCCUGGGGCUGUAGUAGGUCCCAAGGGUUGGGCUGUUCGCCCAUUAAAGCGGUACGCGAGCUGGGUUCAGAACGUCGUGAGACAGUUCGGUCCCUAUCCGGCGUGGGCGUAGGAUAUCUGAGAGGAGCUGUCCUUAGUACGAGAGGACCGGGAUGGACGGGCCGCUGGUGCAUCGGUUAGACUGCCAAGUCUACGGCCGAGUAGCCAAGCCCGGAAGGGAUAAAUGCUGAAGGCAUCUAAGCGUGAAGCCCCCCUUAAGAUGAGAUAUCCCAUUCGAAAGAAGUAAACCCCCUUGAAGACGACGAGGUAGAUAGGGCAGAGGUGGAAGUGUGGCAACACAUGGAGCUGACUGUUACUAAUCGGGUGAGGGCUUGACCAA
Molecule: ribosomal RNA, 2471 nt
Filed under: human gut metagenome
Description: bacterial LSU rRNA
Rfam family: Bacterial large subunit ribosomal RNA
Source: RNAcentral